GACGAACGCUGGCGGCGUGCUUAACACAUGCAAGUCGAGCGAUGAAGCACCUUCGGGUGUGAAUUAGCGGCGAACGGGUGAGGAACACGUGAGAAAUCUGCCUUCAACACUGGGAUAACUCCGGGAAACCGGGGCUAAUACCGGAUAUGAAACCUGCGGGCAUCCGCGGGUUUGGAAAGUUUUUCGGUUGAAGAUGAUCUCGCGGCCUAUCAGCUUGUUGGUGAGGUAAUGGCUCACCAAGGCGACGACGGGUAGCCGGCCUGAGAGGGCGACCGGCCACACUGGGACUGAGACACGGCCCAGACUCCUACGGAGGCAGCAGUGGGGAAUAUUGGGCAAUGGAGGAAACUCUGACCCAGCGACGCCGCGUGCGGGAUGAAGGCCUUGGUGUAACCGCGUUCAGCAGGAGAAGCGAAGUGACGGUACCUGCAG
This 432-nucleotide ribosomal RNA is filed under the name uncultured bacterium. Its description in RNAcentral is "bacterial SSU rRNA". It matches the Rfam family "Bacterial small subunit ribosomal RNA", at positions 28 to 484 of the family's 1533-position model. The record is from RNAcentral.